This 35168-nucleotide long non-coding RNA is filed under the name Coffea arabica (coffee). Its description in RNAcentral is "long non-coding RNA (CARA_LNC001328)". The record is from RNAcentral. Lineage: Eukaryota; Viridiplantae; Streptophyta; Magnoliopsida; Gentianales; Rubiaceae.
UUUUUUUUUUUUUUUGUGUGACUUUGUAUGCUAUGUGCCAUGCAUGAAAUAGGCAAACUACAAAUCUAGAAUACCAUCCAUCUCUUUAGUUGUUAGCAUAACAAAAUUGUGACAACUAUGUUAUGUUCACUUCAACGAUGGCAUAAACUAUGUAAGGUCGUUUUCUUUAAUUUUUUGGACAACUUUUGGAUUCCAAACCACUAUUUGAUAAGUAUUCUUGCUUAAGCAAUCCCUAACAAAUACUCCAGCCAUUGCCAACCCAUCAUUAGCACCUUUGGACAUAAUAAAGAAAUAUAUAUAUAUAUAUAUACAUAUAGUUAAAGGUUGGUGGUUAAGAAGUUGGAUUUGGGUGACCAACAACAAUGGACUUAGAUUUGAUUAUAAAGAUUAGUUGGAUCAGUACCUUGGACAAAAGGCAUAUUCAGCCUUUGUUUUUCAACUUUAACUAUUACUAUUUUUUUUCUCUUCUCUCUUCUCAUCCCUUGGAAUAUUGCAAGCUAUACUUGAGUAGUUGUGUGUGGUGUCAUUACAUGCUGGAUCCACAUGGUUUCAGCGUGCAGGACACGCUCUUUUCGUAGAAAAAUGCUCGAAGGAUAGAACAAAUUGUCCGUAAAAUAUUUUUCCCAAUAUAAAUGGUCCCAAAGGACUUGUCCACACUGCUUUUCCAGGGAGACGAGGGGAGCUUACAUUUCAUUGUCAGGAUUGAAUGGUCUGAUUUUUUUGUCAAACAGUUACACACAAGUUAAAUUAAAAUUAACCUUAACACUCCGAGGAUUGAAUAGUCUAAUGGGUUCUAAAAUAGAUCGAGUCUUUGCAUGUUACUCAUAUUGCAUGAGGAAAAUUGAUUAAUUUGGAGCAUUUUGAUGCACUUAGGCAGUGUGUUAAAAUUGCCCAAGAAUGUCCCUCAUAUAUAUUUUGUGUGUCUCUGCAUUAAAAUUACUAAUUUAACAAUUGAUUGUGUUUAUUAGGCCAAUUGGUAAAGGACACUUGAUUAUCUAAUUGCUUACUGAAGUUUGAAACGUGAAAUAUGAAUGUAUUAAGUUAUUGAAUUAUUAAAUAUUUAAUCAAAUACAUUCGAGGGUGUAUCACAUUCAGUGACAAGUGAAUAAUUUAUCACUUAACCACCAAUUUGCCACAAUUAAAUGUGGCCUUACUUAAAAAAAUUCAAGCUGGUGCAUAGUACAUCCGUCUGAUCCGGUGGUGGUUCAGUCCCCUCUGGAUUACCCCAAGACCUCUUCAGGCCCUCUCUCUCCCUAUAGUAUAGAAAGCUAUCGUAUCGACAAAAAAAAAAAAAAAAGAAUAACUUAUCACUUGUUUUUUGGAAUAAGUUUUACUUAAGAAAUUCAAUGCCACUUAAUUAAUUCAGAUGUUCAAGUUUUAGUUAUCAAAUGCAUCUAAACAUAUUAAAAUCUGAAUCCAUUAAAUUUAAGUGCUGAAUUAGGUUAUCAAACAAGGCCUAAUCUUAUAUACAUUGACAGAAUAUACACUAUCAUCGACAAAUACUUGAGUACAUACCCUGUUAAUAUAGGAAAGAUUAAUCCUUUUUGCAAAGACAAUUUUGUUUAGCUUUGGUAAGAUGGUGUAAAGUCUAUUUGGAUGAGUGCGGUAGUGAAUUUUCAUUAACUUGGAUGGUUGCCUUAUGCUAUUUACUUGAGUGCUAGUUAUUUUAUUGACUACUACUAGGGGGAAGUACCCGUGCAUCGCGCAGGUGUUUAGUGCCUGUGAUUAAAGAGAAUUUUUUAGUGGUUGAAGUGAAUAUUAUUUUCAUAUUAACCAAGAAGUUAUUUUUGAUCAAGAACCUAUCGGUACAUAUCAUCCAUAUUGCUGCAAGGUGAGCAAGUGAAUAAAGAUAAGAGUAGGAUAACAACGCAUAUUAAGUAAUAUUAAUAAAAUUAUUGUAAAUAAUAAUGCAUAUUAACCGAAUCAUACUUAAUAUGAGUAGAAGGAAAUGCACGGAUAAUGGAGUCGUUUAGAGGGCAUUAAACCUAAUCCUGGAAGCCGAAAAGGGAACAAACGGAAGAAUGUGAAAAAGGAGACAUCAGAAUAACCAUAAUCGAUACUUAGACAUUAAAUCAUCAAUAUACCUAUGUUUUUGGCUGUUUAAUUGAGAUGUAAAUAGUGGUAUAUUGCUGGUGUGAAAGUUGUUUCAAAGACAGGGGCUUCAGACAUGGGAACUCAUGCAUUGGUAUUAUUAUGAGUUGUUUCACAUAAUUGAAUGAAUAGCUGCAAGUGUCUUUAUUUUAAUUGCACUAUGACACUAUUUCAGUAAAUUACACCCAUACAUAUGUUUAUAUAAGUUGUACCCAAUGUACUAACGAUUGCAAAAUAAUCCCUCAGUCCAAAAAUACCUAGAUGUCCUUAUGCUAUAUAAGAAUGAGUUUUGGUCAAAUUUGUCAAAUGCUACUGUAUGAUAACAUCUAACAAUCAUUUCAUUUGGUGCAAUAGCUAAUAAAUUAAGUAGGCAAAGAUUUUACAAAUUAUUAGAAAUUGAAGUUAUUAACUUGUAUAAAUUAAGAUCCAUUUUUAUCUACUUUGGGAGCUUUGUUUUUGGUAAAAUUGUAAUAAAGUAUUUACAAGGAUCUUCAAAAGAUAAGAAUAUGUUUGUCCGUAUAAUUUUUUGGUAGUACUAAAUUUGCUAUAGUUUCAGUCAAUUGGUGAUAAACAACUCCAACUUCAAUCAAAUUUUUGAACUAUUUAUCUGGCAUAAUUUGUGGUGUAAUACUAAUAAAGUAUGUAUCUAAAUUUAGGUUGAAUUCUAAUGCUUUGUGAAGGAAGUCAGGAAUGAAAGCUUUAAUGAAUUCUAUUCAACCACUGUGGACUACUCAAUUACCAUAAGUUUAGCAAAAUAUAAGAGAAAUAAACAUAUUAUCAAACAUAAGUUUAAGACAAGUCAUAAGUUUCAUAGCAGAAGAUCAAACUACCAAAAUCAAUUAUCACAUGAUCACAUAGAUGAAUCAACUUUAUCACCAUAGCAAAUCAGCAGUACAAAGGUCAAACUACCCACCAAAUGAAUCAAGUAUUCCCAGAAAUCAGACAAUCAUAUAUAUAACCAAAUACAUAAAUGAACGAGCUCUGUCACCAAACUAAAUUAGUAUCACUAAGUAUACACUCACACCAAAAUCAAUUCCAGAACUAACUACAUGUAUAUCAAAAGAAUUUAAAAGAUUUAGUAGAAAGGAUAAAACUUUGGUUACCUUAUUCCAAAUAUUCCCUACAAAACUUUUCCUCACACACAUGAGGCUGACAUUGUUAAUGCAUUAGUAUGACCUAAUUAAAUAUAUUAACAUGUGCAUAGAAAGCAAUUAUACAUAUAUCACAAGUUAUUUGCAAAUUAUGACAAAUUUCAAUGUAAAAAAAAUACCGUUUCAACAUACCUUGGCUUGGAGAUUCUGAUUAGGAGAUGUAAGUAUGUAACACUCUUCCUAUGAAUCCUGUUCCUACCACAAAUACAAGCAACGCAAAAAAACACAAUUCAAAAAACUAAAAGUCAAUUGAUUGUUAUGAUUUGUCUUCAAAUGGAUGAAAUAUGGUUGCAAACAACAAUACUUUUGUUGAGCAAACCCAAAAACUGAGAAAAGGGGAUGAACAGAUGUCCAACACUUGAUACUUUAAAUUUUUCAAUAAUUAGCAUUAUUUUUUUCUUAACCAUCCUGGUCCUAGAAUGGUUGGAAACGUUGAAGACCGUAAGCCAAAUACAUGAAGUUGAAGCAGCAGAAUUUGAAUAGUAACACCUAUCUAGCCAACUUCUGCCAAUUAUCCCUAAUGAUUGUGUCUAAUAAAUCAUUUGCAAUAAACCCAUGCAAUGAAUGGAAUUUAGCCAGCCGAGAAGUCUAAUCAGUUACAUCAAACCAUCAUGUUCUCCAACCUUUAAUUUGCAACUCCCCAUCUUUAUGUAAUUACACCAAGACAAAAGCUAUUAUGAGUUGUACCAAUUGUUAAAAAGAGCAGUACAACAAACUCGCAUUCCCAAAAUACCCUUCCCUCAUUAAUUCUUUUCACUAAUUACCUACUAAACCACAUUCUCCCCAAUUUAAUUAGAGACUAAGGACGUUUAACUAAUUACAGCCACACAAAGGCUAUUAUCACUUGUAGCCACCGAUAAAAAGAUAACCAAAAUAAUCAUACAUUCCCAAAAUACCCAUGAAAAGACACAACCCUAUUUUUGGAAAUGUAUGACAAAAGAAUUCACCAUAAAUUGUACUCUACCUACAAUACAAACUUUAAAUGUACAACAUGAGGGCAUCUCUGUAAACAUACCCAAACACAUAUUGCUAUGAGUUGUACAAAAAACUUUAAAAAAGCAACGCAUUAUUUCACAUUUCCAAAAUACCCCUACCCAUGCGGUUGAAAUUCAAAGCCUCCUUUGACCAAAACUCAUUCUUAUAUAGUAUAAGGAUAAGGAUAUGCUUCUUUACAUUAUACGAAUAUUUGUCAUGAUUAAAGUUCUGAAGUAUUAAUGCAACACAUUUAUGAUGUAUAGCUUUGUAUCUUAGCAUAAACAUACAUUUAAGCAUUUGAAAACAAAAGCCCUGACCCCUCUAGUCGAGUUUGGGGUUUCCUACUAUAUAUAUUUUCAUAUUACACUAUGUUAUAUAAUUUCUCAAAAUAACAAAAUUUUUUUUCAAUACUCUAACUCCCUAUUUUAUUAGUUACUACAAAAAUUCUAGUGAUUAGAUUUCUAUGUUUAUUUUAUAUAGGAAAUUAUAUAGGAAAUAAAAUAUCCAAAUUCAAAUAAAUAAAUUUUGGAUCGAAUAACUAUUCAUCUAUUAUAUUUUCAUGCAAAUAGAAGGCAAGAAAAGUCUAUGGAAAGAUGAUGGUUUAAUUUGAUAUUAUUUAAGAAGGAGUUCAAAUGUCGGUGUGGCUAAAUAAAUCAACGGAAAGUCUUGGUUCUAUUAAAAAUAUCAGUGAAGGUGAUGAGCCAGAUAUAAAAGAUAGGACUAAAAACAUUCAAAGUUGGAGGAGUCGUGAUGAUUUUAGUUACAGCAAGGUUAAUCAUUUAUUCGUCAUUAAAAACAUUCGAAAUUUCAUCUCUGAUGACACUUUUUUAGUUAAGGAUAGUAAUGGAGACAAUUUUUUCAUAUAUUUUGAUUCUGAAAAUCAAAUUUUUGAGAUUGACAACAAUCAAAUUGUUCUAGAAAGUGAGAUAUUUUAAAAGUUGAAUUCUUGUUAAUUAUUGCAUGAACGUGUCAAUCAGAUAAAUAGUAUAGCAAGAGCAUAACAUAAAAAGUUCUAAUGAAUUAUCCUUUGCCCUCUAGUCGGAGGAACCAAUCAGCGAGCAAGGAUUUGGUUGACAUUUUGAUUUUUUUUUUUUCAGUCUAGAGCGUCAAUAACUUCAUAACCAUAAACCAAUAUGUACACCAUGUAAGUACAAACUAAGGUAAUGACCUGCUGUGGUAGCCACAGAUAGUAGCAAAGCUAGCUUAUCUAUCUGUAAUUACAUUGCUGUUAUUGUUACCAACACUUUGACAAUUUGACAUCAACUCUUUUUUUUGCUGCAAUAUUUCAUUAUUCAAUUUUUAAAAAAUGAAGUAGUUAAAAUAGAAUCUACAUGUAUGAUUGAGAAACCUCAAAGUUACUACCUUACUCUUGGUUUUAUAUUACUCUUGACUCCUUUUUUUUUCCUGUUUUUUUGGCCCCAUAUAUCGAGAGGAUUGGAGGAAUCGUGCCGGGUUAAACCUGUUAAGUGUAAUAACAUUUAACCCCUUGAAUUAGGGGCUGGUCACAUUUUGCCUAGUAAAUUUACUAUAUUAGCUAUUUAUCCCACGACUUAAUGAUACUAUGACAAUAUGCCAUUCAUAUUAUUUUUGUGCCCUUGAGUAUGCCCAAUGCAUGGACUAACAUUUCUUCUAUGUGUUCCUCUUUUUUUUUUUCUCUCACUUUUACUCCAUUCUAAUAUGAUACCUCUUUUUCUGUUCUACUAAUAUUAAUCUUAGACUUAAAUUAGAUACUUUAUAUGACCUUUAACUCAUUUUUGUUUCCUUUCUAGUUGGUUUACAUUGAAUAAUUAUUUUUCAGGACUAAAUUAAUGAUUAAUAUAGUGACCAUAUAAGUUUUUUGUUACCAUUAAUUGAUACCGCUAGUAUAGAUUAACAUUCUUGUUCUUGUUAGCCAUUUUGUUGAUGUAAUAGAAACCUAGUAUAAAUACGACUAAUAAAGAAUUUUGUCAUGAUGAAUUAAUUAUUAACAAUGACAUAUAAAGCAAAAAAAGAGAGAGAAUUAAAAUCCAUUGAUAAGGUAAAAUAAGUAUAAAAGUUUAUUAAUAGUAAUUGAGGAGAGAUAAGUAAGGCAUGACGAAAUGGAUUAUAGAAAAAAAUAAAAGUACCUAGGUAUAUAGAAUGGAUUAACUUUUUAUGCACUAAUAAUGUGGUAAUUUUUCACACUAGCAAUUUUGGAUGAAUGCCACAUGUAUAUGAUUUGCAUUUCAAAUUUGAAUUCACAUGUUAUAUGGCAAUAGUCUAAACCCGCUCACGUAAAAAAAUAUAUAUAUAAAUUAUAAACCGAUUGGAUAUAAAAAAGUUAUGCAUAAAGAAUUUCACAUGACGCAGGUAAUGUUAAACUAAUCUUUUUCAUUUCUCUUUGUGUUAAUUUUAAACUAAACUCCUUCAUUUCUCUUUGGCUUAAUUCUACCUUACACUAGGGGUGGGCAAAAAACCGCCAACCCGAAAAUCCGACGAACCCGAUCCGAUCUGAAAAAUAGGAUAUCCGAUUCAAUUUUUUUUUAGUGGGACAGAUGAGGGUCGGAUACCCACGAAAAACGGACACGGAUACGGAUCAGAAAAUUAAAAACUCACGGGUACCCGACCCACAGAGUAUAUUAUAUAAAUAUUAAAAAACUAGGGAUCAUUUUAUAAUUUUUAAUCCUAAAUGUAGGUGAAAUGACUCACAGCCUCAUAUUCUAAUAUCAUAUGAUCCGCCUCUCUUCAUAUUGUUUGAAAAAAGCGAAUAUUCUCGGUAAAAUCUAAAUCAAAUGAACAAAAUGAAGAAAAAUUUGUGAAACUCUAUCAUAAAAAUUAUUCAUCCCUUUGAUCCUUUUCAUUUUUAUUCUACCUUCAUCGAUCUUUCCUGCAAAAUUUUCAUCAAUUCAAUCAAAGAUUUGUGUUUGGAGUUCCAAUUUUCUAUUAGCUACAUAAUUAAAACAUUUGUGUCUUUCAUUUAUUUAUUUAUUUUAUUGUAAUUAUGUCUCUUAAAUUCGUCUCUUUUAUUUUAGUGCAAGAAUUUUUUUUUCUUUUUCAUCACCUUUAAUGCCAUAAGGUCUAUUCCAAAGAUGUAAGGAAAUUGGGAAAGAUUUUUCAAUCUCAUUUUGGUUAUACUUUCUCCAAAAAUAAUUAGCUCUGUUGAAUUCUUUUCGGGACUUGAUUCCACAAUCGACUCAUUUGGGAUGCAGUCUUAUACCAUAACAUCCUUAAGAAAGUUGGGGAAGUUGCCAGAUACUUAUUAUCAUUGUUUUUGUUGUAUUGUAGAAGGAUAAAAUCUGUGAGAAUGGUGAUAUAUUUAAAAUUAACAUGAAAUUUCGUUUUGUCUAUUAGAUAUUAUAAUUCUAAUAUGUACUAAAUUUAUGAGAUCGGUUUGAUUGUUGGAUGAAAUAUGUGAGAAUGGUGAUGUAUAGACUUUGUUUACAAUAUCUCUACCAAUAUUAAUUGGAAAACAUGUUUUUUUUUUAAAUUGAAAAACAUGUUGAUGUUUAGUGCAAACUAUAUUUUUUAUUGAAAAAUAGUUUUUUUUAGGGACGGGUACCCUAUGACCCGCCCCUUUUUUUCGGAUACUCGAAGAUAUUAAGAGCGGUUUAGGGUCACAAAAUAGUUGAUCCAAUAUAUUAGGGGUGACCUGUCCCUUUUUUUCGGAUAUUCGAAGAUAUUAGGAGCGGUUUAGGGUCACAAAAUAGUUGAUCCAAUAUAUUAGGGACGGGUAUCCAACCCGUACUCACCCCUACCUUACACUCUUCAAUAAUACUCUAAUUUUCACUUUGGUCCUUGAACUAUAAAUUGAGAUGCUUAGUCCCUAAAUUAUAAAACUCAUCCUACUUAAGUACAAUCAUUAUCAGAAGACCCACAACCAAUGAAAUACUAGUCAAGUGAGAAGCAAUUAUAACCCAAAAAUAUCCCAAAAUUAGAGAGAAAAUAGAAGUGUAGGAACAAAGUAAGAAUCAAAGGAUAGUUUGGAGACUAAAGUGUCUCAUAGUAGAGUUUAGGGACCAAUGAUGCAUAGGGAGUUUGAUCUCUAAUUGCUUCCAAACUUUAAAUAUGACUCAAACUACCACGGCUACAAGUGCAUUGAUCGUAUACGAUUAUAGGGAAUAUUUGAGUGUCGAUCCCACAGGAAAGAUUGUCAAGUACCCAUGUGAUUCAAAUUCUUUUAUUAUUUAGACUACUACAAAUAAAAUAUGUAAAUAUACACUAAUAAUAUGCAACAAAAGUGAUAAAAAUGACAAGAAAGAGGUUCCUAGGGUUUUGAAUUCCUAAUUACUCUUGUAAGUGAAAAUUACUAGUGAAUUGAGUUUAUUAUCUUGGUUAAGUCAUGGCUAAUUUCCUAAUAUAUGUGAUAUCUGCUUCCUCACGUACACCAACCAUAUUUGUAACUAUUCCACACCUACUAGUGUGACAUGAAACUAGUUAUAGAUUCAUUAAAUUAUUUGAAAUUAUAAAAUUAAAGUCACACAAGUGCAACCCUACAUUAGUGAGUGAACUUUUUAGGUUUAACACUUCCAUAAACUAGCAUUAGAUCUCAAUGUUUAUUGAUGAAACAAUGCCUUUACAUAAUCACAACUAAUGACACCAAAUUAAUCAUGAUUGUAGUAACAAAAGUGCUAAACAACCUAUAUAAGAUCUAACUCAAUUAACUACGAAAAAUUCAUGUGACAAGUAUAGAUAAUUCAUCCAUUCCUAAGUAUAUAAACUAGCAAAGCAUAAAAGAUAAGAAAACAAGAACCUAAUUUGUAUUAUAACCAAACAUAAGUAUCAAUACAAGAAAUAAAGUGAUAGGAGAGAUGUCACCCUUGUCACAUGAAUUUUCAACUUCUCCAUUUUCAUUCUUAAUUUUCAUCUAUGUUAGCUAGAUACAGGAUUGAUAAACUACACUAAUCCACACUAAAAUAAUGAAUUAGGAAAUUCUACUGAAAGCCUACAUUUUGGCAUAGUUCCUCAAGGCUUUAAAGUUACAAAAAUGCUUCACAAGAGGGCCUAUAUAUAGAUGAAUCAUACACUGAAUAAUCUUGUUUCAAGUUGCCCAAAUAACUCCUUGGAAUCUUCAAAAUUUAUUUCUUGAAAUCUUUAAGAUUUUUUGAGUAGCUACAGCUGAAAUUCGAUCUGGAAAUGAGCUAUAAAAGUUGUGGGAAAACUAUGCAACUUGCACAGCCGCCAUGAGAAAAUAUAGGUGAGAAAAUGCGAGUAAUGACCCUCGUUUUACCUCUCCUGCAUUUUCCUUGUUUUUAAUGGUUUCAUCCCAAUCUAAGGCUUAGUUUGGGAGUUUACGGAGGAAGAGAAAAGAAAAGAAAAGAUAGCUUAGGAAAGAAAGGAAGAGAAGGGAAAAGAUGCAUAUUCUGUUUGGGAGUUUAAUGAAAGAAAAGAAAAGAAAUAUCUUUCUCUUAUUUGAGAGUUGGAGAGAUAUGGAAAGAAAGGAUUUUAUGAGAAUACAACUUUACAUAUUUACCCUUUCAAUUUGUAAAUCAAAGUCCAAAAAUUAGCUUCUUGUUCCCAUAAAUAGAAUAUUUUAACAAGACAAAUUUCUAAAACAAUUGCAUCUGCAUUCCCACAAGGUGAAUAAUAAAACAAAUUUCUUGCUGGACUUCGAUUCUCUUGCAUGCAUGUAAAUUGCCUCAAGUCCUUGUAGUAUCUUUUAGGUAUUCUUGACAUAUAAUUUUUGAUAUUGGCUGGAAAUGCCUAGUAGGUUAUCUAUUUAACAUAAAUUAAAUAUUUUUAAAAAAAGAAAUAUCCCAUAAAGUACUAGCUCUUUAUGGCUUUUCUCUAUUACAUGAGCCAAGUACUAGGUUUUUAUGGAUAUUUUAUUCUGAAUCAUUUAAUUUAUGUUAAAUACAUAAAUAUUUGCAAAUAAAAUUCAAAAGUCGUUACACAAAUAUUUUUACGAAAGGAAAACUAGCAUGUUUUGUAUUUAAUAUAAAUGAAGUAUUUGAAAGUAAAAAAAAUUUAUCCAUAACAUAUCAGUUCUUUACGAGUUUCUUUCAUUAUAUGAAUAAAAUACUAGCUAUUUAUGAGCAUUUUAUAUUGAAUCAUUUAAUUUAUAUUAAAUACAUAAAUUUAAUUAAGCCAAGUUCAAAAAGUGUUACCCUAAUGUUAUUACCAAAUGAAAACUAGUGGGUUUUAUAUUUAACAUAAAUUAAAUACGUGAAAGUAAAAAAAUAAAAAGAAAUUACGUGUAACAUAUCAGCUCUUUAUGGAUUUUUUCUAUUACACGAAAUACCUUUUGUUUGGUGAAUUAUAGGUGAAAAACGGAAGAAAGCCAAGUUUUUGCUGGAAGUAUUGAAAUUAUAGGACACAUGACCGAGAAAGCUUUGCGGUGCUUUUAAAGAAAUCAAUUUUAGGAUAUAUUGGGAAUAAUAAAUUUUUGUAUCAGCUUUUAAAGAACAAACUUGACAUAUUAAAAAUGUCUUUUGGAGCCCGACAAGUUUCCGUCCUUUUCUUCCCACUUUUGGGUGGAAACAUUCUCAACAAUUGGAGGGAGACUUUUAUCCAUUCAUUUCACUUCUCUUCUGUCUUGUUAAACUCCCAAAUGAAAGAAAUGACCGUUCUUUCUCUCUGAAUACUUUCUUUUCUUCCUUUUCUCCCUAUCCAAAUGAAGCCUAAGGGUCAAAACAUGGGUUACCCUUAUCUUGGUCCUCAUUUUUUAUGAGCACGAGAUAUGCAUACAACAAUAAAGUUCAAUUCACAGUUAAGUUUUAAAUUUAUAAAAUUCUAAAUAUCCCAUAUGCAAUUUUCUACAAGUAUACGAGUUUUGAUUGAAUAUAGGGUAUUAAGGGUUAAACCCACAGAGAAGAAUGGAUAACUAUCGGCACUACUAUGCUCCUCUAUUAUUUAGAUAAUCAACAAAUUAAAAAAAAAAAAUAAAACUAAGCUAAACUAUAUAUGCAAGAAAAUAGCAAAUGAAAACUCCUUAGGUCAUGAUAUCCCUAACUAUUUAUGUAAGUGCAAUUUUGGAUCAUUAAGCACUAUUACAUUGACUAGUUAUAGUGCAAUUUCUUUAUGCAUUUGAAAUCUACUCUUGUAGUGAAUAAACUACACUUAUAAUUAAUCCAGACUUACUUUUGUGGUUAUGAAAUUAGUUAAAAGUUCAUUACCUCUAUGAAAUUAUAUGAAACAAAGCUACCAAAACCACAAAGGUGCAGCUCUACUUUCAUAAGCAUAUUCCCUAGGUUUAACACUUUCUCGAACUAGUGUUAAAUCCCAAUUUUUAUUGAAAAGACAAUACCUUUAUAUAAUCACAAUUAAUGAUACCAAGUUAAUCAUGAUCAGAGGAGCAAAAGUGCUAAAUAACUUGCUCAAAAUAAUAGCUCAAAUUACUAAGAAAUCAAUAUAAUAUAAUCAUAGAAAGUUCAACCAAAAACUUUGGAAACACAUAAUGAAGAUAAAAUCCAAACUUGUAUAUUAACCAAAUUUAGAAUCAAUUACAAAAGAUAAAGAGUUAUGAAGGUAAAGUAACCGUUAUCAUAUGAGCUUCCUCCUUACCUUAUUCAUCCUUUAGCUUUAUUUCCAUCUAACUAAUACACAAGAAAGGAUGAACUAACUAAGCUAAACUAACUAUCCUACACUACAUAAACUAAAGAGUUAAGAAACUACAUUUUUGUAGUAUUCCUUGCCCCUCUCCAAGCUCUCUUAAAAUGAAAGAUACAUGUUCUAUUUAUAGAGAAAUCUUCAAAUACUUCACCAGUAUCUUUCAUGCGAACAUACCUCUAAAUAGUCAACAAUUUUGGCUUGAAAACAAAAUCACAUCAUUAUUGAAGAAAUAAGGUCACAAAUUAUUGCUAAAAUCCCAUCUUAACAGUUGCAAAUGAGAUGUUAAACAUCCCUAAAAAAAUGUGAAAUAAUGGAGGUGAAAACAAGUUGCGCAAGUUGAAGUCGCAAAAUUUGACCGGAAUCCCUCUAGUGAUCCAUCCAAAAAUUGGCCAAAUUCCUUCCCUAUUUUUUUUUUUUAAAAUUUUGUUUCUUAUUCCAACUCAUUGCCUCAAAUCCCUUCGACAAUCCCUCCAAAAACUGGCUGAAUUCUUUGGAGGGAUUUGAGUCGACUUUCUUUUUCAACAUGUUUCUUCGUUUUCUUUUUCUUGUGACUUGAACCACCUUUGAAAGUUAUCAUCUUGUUUACUUUAGAACUUCAAUUAACAUAAUGCAAGUUUAUUUCUUAUCCAAAAUGAAGUUGAUUUCCAAAUCCUACAAAAAUAAUAAAAAAUAUGCAAGUAAAAGGGACAAAAUUCUCCUUUAAGCUCUAAGUAGUUUCUUAUAACUAAUUCUAGUAAAAAUGGACCAGUGUUUUUCUUAUAAUAUUGAAAAAGUGACUAAAAGUAAUAUAAAUAAUCAUUCAAAUAUACCACAAAAUAGUCACUCAUCAGUUUUCUCCUUGGAAGACUAAUUUUGUAGCUUUUGUCAUUUCCAAAUCGUCCUCAAAUCAUCUCUAACAUCUUACUUGUGUUUCACUUGAUCUAAAAUGAACAUAAAACAUCAAAACCCAUAAAAACAAUAAUAUGUUUUGCACAUUAAAUCAUUCAAAUGCAAGUUUUAGUUAUUAAAUGCAAUUGCUUAAAAGGAGAGCAUUUUUCAUCCUUAAAACCCUAAAAACAAACAAAACUAAGUAAUAAAACACACUAAAAAUAUGUAAAAUAAAUACUUAUCAACUAAAAAGGGAAUUAAAAUAUAGUUUAAGGACUGAAAUGUCUUAAUUUAGAGUUUAGGAACUAAAGUGGUAAUAUUAGAAAAGUUAAAGUUGCAAAAUGGAAUUAAUCCUUUCUUUGUUUCCCUUGUAAGAUUUAAAGUUUCUUUUGAAGAGAAAAAAACUCAAUCUUCUAGUGCUUGGUUGUUGGAUCAUGAACUUUUGUAUUAAAAGUCGAUUAUAUGAAGGUUGAUAGUUGUAAAACUUUCUUCAAAAAAGUACUUUCUAAUUAAUGUAUCAUAAGUUGAAAGUACAAUUACUAGUCUUCAAAUAGUAAAAUAUGAUUAAAAUAUGUGUACAUAUAUGCAUUACAAUUAAUUACAGUAAGCACAUUUGAACUAUCACUAAUCUAAACCAUUUAUCUCAAACUAUCAAUUGUAGCACUUAAAUUUAAUAUACUAAAAAAAUCGUAAUACAUUACUUAAACUAGUUAAAAUCCAUAGGAACUUUGAUAGUUAUUUUUUAACACAACACAAGACUAUUAGAACCCUAAAUGAAUAAAAGUACUUUGAUAAUCGUACUUAAUUUAGGGACUAAAAUGUUCUCACUCAAAAAUAGUUAGAAAAUUUUUGUUAUUUUUCAACUAAUUUCAAGAAUGUACUUAAAAGUGAUAGUAUAAGAAUUAAAGUGCUAUAAUUGAUAAGCAAAGUACAAUUAGGUGAUGCUUCGAGGCUCUUACGUCAAAUUUACCCUGUACACAAGUUGCAAAGUACAUAGUGGGUCGGAGCUCGCAACGGAUCUUCUGUCCCACAUCCUGUGCCACUCUCUGUGCCACUUUUUAUUAUAUUGCUAUUUCUCAUUCAUAAACAUCAUGUUUUAAUUCUUUUUUGCUUCCUUAAGAUCCAAUAACUAUUAAUUCAGUAAAAAAUAAAUAUAACAGCUUAAAAAAAGCAAUAUAUAAUAGAAAAUUAAAAAAUACACCAGAAAAUUCAUAAAAAAUCUCAUUUUUUAUGCAUUUUGAUUUUUUGAGUAUGUUAAAUUUUGUGUAUUACUGAAUUAAUAGUUAUUGGAUCUUAAAAAAGUAAAAAAGAAUUAAAACAUGAUGUUUAUGAAUGAGAAAUAACAAUAUAAUAAAAAGUGACACAGAGAGUGACACAGGAUGUGGGACAGAAGAUCCGUUGUGGUCUGAGCUGAUGUACAAAGACGUGCCCAAACCCAUUAUCAUCUCACGCCCUGGCCUUGGAUUGAGUUUGAGGUUGAAAGUUUCUCUUCAGACUCAUGAAAUUGACAUUAUCUGGGCCAUUCAAAACAUGGACAAACCUAACAUGUGUGACCUGAGUUUUUUGCCAUUAAUGGGUUUUACGAGCUUCGCACUUCUUUCCAAUUAUUGGAAAAUUUUAUAGCCCUUUUACUUUUAGGAUAUUGUCAUUUAAGCGGUUCCAUUUGAAUUAGUUAUUUUUGAAAUAUUUUACAAUAACAAUAUAUGUGAAAAACGCUUACUGUAGAUAUUUUUUGUAGUAUUUUUUAAAACUAUUUUUGAAUAUAUAUUUUGGGGCAUUUUUAAGAUUUAAAAUUUUAGUGAGGUAUUUUUAAAAAUUUCAAAAACUUUACCACUACCCACCACUCCGUCCCUUCCCUCCCUCCUCCUCUCUUCUUUUUCUGCCUUCCCUCUCCUUUCUUUCUUCCUCCCGCUUCUUCCUCCUCCUUCCUUCACCCCCCCUCCCCUCGGCGGUUCUCCCGUAACCCCCUUCUCCUCCCUCACAUUUUGGUUGCAAUCCACGACUAUAUCUAGUCACGAUAAUAGUGCAUACACUGUUAAUGUAUAUAAAAUUUACACUUAUGCAGUUAGCUUAGGAUAUGGACAUAAUCAUAUAGCAUAAUUUUUUUGGGUCUUUAAGGACUCGCUCACCUGUUGCAACCUGUUAUUAGGGAAAGAACUUUUUAGGAAAACACAACAAUUACUAUCAUUCAAGAUUGCAAGGAGCUUAUAGGAAAGGACGUUUCAUGUUUGAUACAACAUACUCUAAGAGGAGGCAACGGAGUAGGCCAGUGCCUAAUGUGAUUGGUAAUAUUACUGGUCAUGCUCUUGAAGUAAUUGGAACAUUUUCUCCAGCCGUCUUGGGGCUUUACAUCUUCUAUUUUAUUUUAUUUUUUUCAAAAUCCUAUAAACAAAAACACCUGAAGACCUAUCCAGACUAAAGGAGGGUACUGUUGUCCACUAUUUGAAUUUUAUUAACUGAAGGGCGCAAAGUUUGAAAACGUAAUUUAUAAUCCAAUGAAAAAUAUUAAACAAAGAAUUUACAUGUUUUAGGUGAUAAUUGUUGUGGAUUAGCUCCACCACACUUUAGAUGAUAAAGGAAUCAUAUGCCUAAGCCCUCUUGUAUACAAAAACACAAAAAAAAAGAGAAAAGAAUAAGAACAAGAAUAAGAAAUGCCCCCCAUCAAGCCCCUCAACUAUGUUUUUUUUUUUUUUGCGACACAAUGGAUUUUAUUCUACACCUAUUUCUACUUUAUACUAAGGAGAGGGGGACUUAAAUAGGUUAAAGGGGAAUUCGAAGGAAACUGAACUAUCACCAAUCCAAAUAGAUGCGUACUACGUAGACACUCAUUGGCGAAAUUUUCAAGAAAACUUGGAUAUUUAAAAUGCAAAUCCCUUGACCUGCAUCCAAAUAGAGAUUUAAAUCUUUCUUAGUGGCUAACAACUCUAUGAAUAGUUGGUUCAACUAUGCUUGUCACAACUUAUUGAAAAAAAAAGUGAAUAAGAAAAAGCAAAACUAAAAGCAUUAGUAAACUAAAACUUUCACUGUUCAAUAUCACAUGCUUCUAAUUUUGGGCCUUUGUGAAUUCUUAAUUAUAAACCGUAGUUUAGGUUGAUUAAUUAAAGCAAUUGUUUCAUUCUCCAUUUUGGAAAACUUAAUUGAACUGAUUUAGAUGAACUAUUUCUGCACUACAAAUUCUUUCCUUGACAGAAACGUCAAUGUUUAGGCUUUUUCCAUAUUAGCAAUAUAUUAUAUACAACGAGGGACUACGCAGGGAACAUAUAGAUCUCUUAGUGAUUAAGCUAUAGGAAUCUUGUACAUCAUCGAAAAUUUUGAAACAAAGAUUUUUAAAAAAAACUAAAAUAGUUCAACUAUAAAUUUUUUGACCGACACAUGAGGUAUUAAUUUCUCAGGCGGAGGAUGGGUUGAGUGGUACAAGGGAAAGAGUACGAGUGAGAAGUUUCGGAUUCGAGAACUCGCACUUACACUAAAAAAAAAAAAAAUUUCUCACGUUCAAUUUAUUUUGUCACCCAUCCAAAUUUCCAAGUACCCUCUAGGGAAAAAAAAAUAUCCUGCAGAUAACUUAUAAUUAAGAGAGACGCAAUUUGUCAACUAUGAAUCAAAUUAGUAAGGACUAAUUACAUUUACCCCCCCCCCCCCCCCGAGGUUGGACCAAACUAUAAAAUAAACCUUGAGGUUGACUAAAUUACAAAAUAAUCCUUUAAUCUUGCAAAACCAUAACAAAAGGGUCCCUGCCGUUAGUAAGAUGACGUUGACUGCUAAAUCCUAACAUAUUUAUACAAUAUUGAAAGUUCAAAAAAUAACCAUCAUUUCUUCCAUUUCCCCAGCUAUCAAUCUGCACCCACCUUGCUGCUAAAUACAUAUGCCGCCACCAUACUUUGGGCAUCAAAUUCUUCUUCUUUAUAGUCAAUCCAACUUUCUAGAACUCCCGUCCUUGAAUUUGUCCACAACAGAGUUUUGACUUGAAAAUUUCAAGAUAGGAACAAAAUAAUAUUGAAAUAAAGCCUAUUGUGACUCCAUGACCACGUCUGGGAAACCAUUUGAUUUCAUCAAAUGCAAUGAAAAUACUUCAACCAAUAUCAUAUAAGUAUUUAGAAUGUGUCAGAUGUUAUUAUUUUAAUACCCAACAAAAGAUCUUCAAUAUGAAAUUGUCCCACUCAUCUUUAGCUGAAUCCCUUGCGUUUUAGAUCUUUUCUCUUCAAUUUCAUGAGCUGCAAAUUCAACUGGAUGUAUUUGUGGACAUUUGUUUACUUGUUUGGAUGAUUUCAUUUUUUUACAUUUGGUUUUCUUUUAUUGAUAGACCUUUCAUGAUUUAGAAAAGGGGUAUGUUGUUCGUCAUUUUUAUGACCUCCACGGAUGGAGUUUAGAUGGUGUUACUGGCAGGGGAGGUCAAUGUUAUUUAACUAAACCUCAAGGUAAAUUUGGUAGUUUGGCCUAGCCUCAAGGGAGGUAAAUGUAAUUAGUCUAUUUAGUAAACUUCGCCUCAAAAUUUAUUUGAAAUAUUAUUUGAAAUAAUUACCGUAGUACUUUUGUGAUGUGAUGUAUGCGAGAUAAAAAGAUAGUUGAAAAUAUAAAAAAGUGAGUUGAAAAAUGUAUUUACGAUACAAGCGAAAUAUUAUUUGGAAUAAUUUCACUGUCCAAACAGACCUGAAUAUUUCCAUAUCAGUGAUGUACUACAGUACUACUAUAUAUAUAUUUCUUAGUGAUUAAGCUAGUAGUAAUACUUAACAAAAUAGCGGAUGAACUUGUCAGAGGGUUGACUAUUCCUUCAACUAGUCAAGAAUUAGGACAAGAAUUAGACAGUAAUUUUAUUCCUAAGACAUCAAAACCGAAUCAUCCGGCCAAUAACUUUGUGCCACACUGGAUACUUGACAACUGGGUUUAGGUUCUUUUGUCUCUAUGUAUACAAGUAUAUAUACAAAUUUUGCUGGAGGCACAACGAAGCCAAGAUAUUCCCUCCUUUUUCAGCAUACCAAAUGGUUCCCUAAUCACUUUUUUUUUUUUUGUUUUCGUUCGCAAUAUAUUAGCAAAUUCCUAUUUCAUUGUAAGUCCUCACAAUUUAAUUUUCUUCUAUUGAUUUUUUUUUUAAUCAUUUUUGUGAUUUACUUGCUUAUAUGAUUAUGUUGAGUUCUGAUCGAGGUUUGCUGGCUUUAUUUUCAUGGAUGAUGAAGAUAUUUUUUGGUUUUUUAUUUCUUGUUUAUCAAUCCCUCCCCCAGAAUCAAAAUUACUUAUUUCACUAUUCAACGGUUAUCAUUUUAGUUGGAGGGUAUGGUAUCAACAAGGGACGGUAGAAUCCCCUAAUGUCUUGUUUCCAGCUAUUGCAGGUGUAAUUAAGAAGAAGAAAUUAAACUAGAUGGGAUUGUUACUUACCAAGCUGAGCCAACUCUUUGCCCAGAAGCAAGCGCGGGUACUGAUGGUGGGUCUUGAUGCUGCCGGCAAAACUACUGUGCUGUACAAGCUCAAGUUGGGCGAAGUUGUGACUACCAUUCCUACCAUUGGUAUAAAUCUUCCACCAACUCUUUUCUAACAUUGGCUUUUCUAACCCAUCUAGAAAGUUGGUAUAAAUCUUCUAUCAUUGGUAUUUGGAACUUUAUACGGUUGCCUGUCACAGUUGCACACUAUUGACUCACUGUAGAGUUUAUGCACUGGUACAAUAGAUAUAAAUAUUAACUAACAAGUGUCUAUAGUCUGAUUAAAAUAUAAUUUAGGUGUCACAUUUUAGAAAUGUAAGGUAUACUAGGAAAAGUAAAUAAAUAUAAGGGAUGGUAAAUAAGAUUCAAUAAUGAAAGUAUAUAAAUGUAACAGAGGGUGAUAAUUGUUAGUUCGCGUGUAUAGAUUAGGUGAAUAUUAAGUGUGUUAAUGAGUGCCUAUAAGGCGUCCGCUAGAAAAACCUAUAUGUUACAAUACGAAUUUCAAAAACACAACAAAUUUCACAAGACUAACCUACUUACCUUAGGUUCCUAAUGUUCUUUUUUAUUCUUUGAAGAAAAAUAUAGAAAAUUUUUUAAUACGUACUUGAAUGUUCAUUUUAGCAAGGUGUUACUGCAGGACAUUGUGCUGUACUCUUGAACUGUAUUUUUAAAGUUUAAACGACUGACAACUUGAGUUUGAACUUUGUUACUGUUUUGUUAAAAUUUUGUGCAAAUAGAACUUUGCGAUAGAGAAUACAAUGAUUAAUUAAUAAUGUCUCAAUAUAUUUGGAACCAUACAUUUUAUCAAUUCAACAUCUUUUUAAGUGUUCUUAGUCAUGAAUUAUUUUGUCAGUUCAGCAUCUUUCAUACAUUUUAAGUGUCAUCAUUUACUUAUUUUUUUCUCUUUGUUUUUGCCAGGAUUUAAUGUGGAGACUGUGGAAUACAAGAGCAUCAGCUUUACCGUUUGGGAUGUUGGUGGUCAGGAUAGGGUAACCAUAUACCGCUUUUCUUUCAACUGGAUAACAUGGUCAUCAAUUUGGAGGCUUGACUGGCAUUAAAAUAUCCAUUGAAGAGAAGUUGAGGAUUCAUUGAGUCUUAAUUGCAUGAAUUGCUGACCAUUUAUUCCUGAUUUUCAGAUCCGACCAUUGUGGAAAUAUUACUACCAAAGUACUCAAGCAUUAAUCUUUGUCAUUGAUAGUAGUGACCGAGAUCGUGUAGCUGAGGCUAGGGAUGAGCUUCACAGGAUGUUAAAUGAGGUAUCCUAUUCCAAUUUCAGGUUGAUUUGAUGAUAGAAGUCAGGAAAACUUUCUACAACUUAAGCAUGAAUCCUUUCUUUCACUUUCUCUAUUUGCUCAUUUUCUUGUAAUGUAUACCUUGUGCUUCAGUUAGAAACUGAGUAAAGGUCAUUGACAAGAUUGUGGUUCAGGUGACAUGCUAUCAUCUUUGAAAUUAUAUAUGAUUCUAACAAAGAUAAAUUUGUAGGAUGAAUUGAGGAAUGCUGUGCUGCUUGUGCUUGCAAACAAGCAAGAUCUUGCCAAUGCAAUGAAUGUUGCAGAACUUACUGACAAACUCGGUCUUCACUCCAUCAGUCAACGCCAGUGGUAAAUUCUCUCUUUAUCUUCAUCCCCCUUUUCCCUCUAUUUGCUUUUUGUUACUGAAGAAGAAAUGCACCUUCCAUGUAAUUGAUUAUAGGUACUAUUGAUAAUGAUGUAACACAUGCGAUACGGGAAAUUCUAUGGUCUCUUUCGGGAAUCAUUCUUUCAAUUUCUAUCUCGGAGUGAUGAUAGUUGCUCAAAUUUUAAACGAUUGAAACAGAUAUAAUCUAAAGGUUCAAAACAAUUAUUUCACCGUCCAACGGUGAAUUAAAGUCGAGAGUAUGAUACCAAGUAACUAUAUAUAGAAUCUCCCCACGCUAUAUAUAGUGUUUGUGACUUGUACCUUAGCUGUCUAGUAACCUUUUCAAUUUGUUGCUGUGUUUGUCUGAAUGUACUUACUGGAUGAUCCAGAGCAGUGACAUUUUACAAUUUGACAGUGAAUCCAGAGCUGUGAUUCUUAACAUUUUGGGGAAAACUAAAGAUCUUCUUUUUGGUGUUUCUCAGGUAUAUCCAGAGCACAUGUGCAACCACUGGAGAAGGGCUUUAUGAGGGCAUGGAAUGGCUCUCUAGAAACAUAGCUGACAAGGUAGAGUAUUAUCAAAUUGCUCGGAGAUAAAUUUAAGUAUAAAUCUUAUAUACACUGUCAGGAUAUAUACUAUCACGGUUGGAUAAAUGAUAUAUGAACAAAAUUUGAAUAUCAAAUUCAAAUUUUACACGUGUGUGAUAUAUCUAACGGUGAUAAUGUAUGCACUAACAGUGUAUAUAAGAUUAAUCAUGUAGUCUAAAUUUAAUUCAUUUUGAAAAUCAUGUAGUCUAAUUGUUGUGUGUUUAUUCAUGUUGUUGCAGGACUAGAUGGUGGCAUCAUACCUAGCAAGAUUCUGCAGAUGAACUGUAACAACACUUUUUUGUUGUUAGCUUGCCUUCAAAUCAUCUUCUAUCUGCAAGAUAAAACUGCACUAUGUUGUAAAUUGUUUUUCUGUGCAUUCAAUAUUUUCAUCCAGCUUGUUCCAAACUUAUGGUAUAUUGACUUGUUCGGACAUCUAUGUGACUGCCAAUUGAUAUUGCCUAAGUCUGUAUUUUAUUCCUUCAAAAAAUGUUCAAGUUUCACCUUAUAGUUUCUCUCUCGGAUCUUCUUGUUGAUCAAUAACAUAAAAGCUAUGUUCUUUGCUGAGUUGAUAAUUGCAAACUUCUUUCAAAUUCAAUAUGUGAAGGCUUCAAUGUAAUGGCAGCUGGUGGGGAAGAAUGGAGGAUGAACCAAGUCUGUGCUUUGCUAAAAUGGGCAAUGAAAAAAAAAAAAAUUAACAGUUUAUUCUUGUUUACCAUUGGAAAAAAAUCUGGGCAUUUGAUGUAACAAUCUCCUAGUACUGUUGUUUUGUCUUGGUCCUUGGACCAAAUAUAAUUUAGUAGUUGAAAAUAAUUUCUCAAGUUAAAUUCAAAUAAGUAAAAUGGUGGAAAUACCGUUUUGAUCCUCAAUGUUCAGUAUCUUUGUGAUUUUAGUCCCGUUUCAACAAAAAUAAAUCCGCCCCCAAUGUUUGGCACCUGGUACAAUUUUAGUCCAUAAAGUUUCAGCAUUAAUAGGCACAUUAAUAGGCAAAUGAUUGCGCAUGAUUAAACUCUAUCAACAAUUGAAAAUUUUUUUGAAUGUUUUAAAUCUGCUUUAAAUUAGAUACAUUAGGGACCAUGUUUGUUCUUGCCCAAACUUUAAGGAGUAAAAUUGUUUAGCUACUAAACAUUUCGGUCUAGAUAUAUUUUUGACAAAACUUUUUUUUUUGGACGAAUUAGAAUUUUAUUAAAAAAAAAUUAGCAAUAAAUAUCCACAAGUCAGUGAAUUCCUGCUCUAUACAGUAAACUCCUAUCUAUAUUCCUUUAUAUCACCUUUGUCUAAAACCUCAAAUUUUUCGAUCUCCCUCUUGAUUAAGACUAAUAAAUUAACCAAUAUUAUUAAUUAUUUUACCAAUAUUUUACUUAGUGUCUGUUUGAUAACAUAAAAAGUGCUGAAACUGAAUUCAUUCAGACAUUCAGAUGUUUUGGGUGUUUGAUAAAUAAAAAUUUUUCUGCUAAACUUAUUAAGUGGUGCUGAAUUUGUAUGUAUUUUUUCAGCACAAGAAUCGUAACUGAAUGCUUAAUUUGAUAAGAAUCAAGAGUGUAUUGUCAUUUGGCAUGGCUUGUCGAAUUGAAGAUGAUAAAUCAGGGAAUGUGUAUCUUCUUUUGUCAGGCUAAAUACGAGUGUGCCAGGACCUGAUAUGUUGUCUCCCGUAAACGAGCUCGAGCUCGAGCUUCGAACUCGAUGAGCUCGGCUCAAUUUCGAACUCGAGUUUGAGCCCCAACUCGAGUUUUCUACCAGUAUAUCAAGUUGAUCUCGAAAGCUUUGUGAGGUUUGAAUUACUAAUCGAGCGAACUCGAACUAGCUCGAUUAGAGGUUCGAGUCGAGCUUGAUUGUCCUAUGUUCGAGCUCGACUCGGCUAGUUUAACAGCUCUAUGGAGUUCCUUGAUGGAACUUGAGUUUUUUCUUGAACUGUAUCAAGUAUUUAGAUUGGAUACUUGUGGUGUUCAAGGCAAGAUGAUCACGUCAUCUUGUUCUUUUAAGCCAAUAACCAAUCCACUAGGUUUUUAGAGACGGGUUCUCUUUAGGUCUAGCAAGGUAGUUAUUGUUUCAUAACUUAAUCAAGAUAGAUCCUUCAGUUUCCUGAUCGAUUCGAUUCUUCAAGACAGGUUCUUGUUGGGUCGAGUUCGUAUCACAGCUGAUUGACAAGGUCAAGGUAGUUCGGUAUAGAGUCCGGCCAAUUGAUAGUCAUGGUAGUUCGGUAUAAAGCUGACCAGUUGACUAUCAUCGUAGUUCGGUAUAGACCCCGACCGAUUGACCUAUAUAUGUAAUGAGACCAAUCGGUAGUCAUGAAACCUAUUGGUCGCCCACAUAGAAGGGGUUUAAUUUCUAGACUGAUUACUCAGAAGCCGCAUAUUGCAUGUGCUUGUUUGUGAGCUAUGUUUAUGAAAUGAGAUGGCAUGAUUGAUAUAUUUUUUGAUUUGCAAGUAUGUUCAAUGAAUAUAAUCAUGUCAUAUUAUGUGCAUUUCUAACCCAUGUUCGGCAGGAGCCAUCUCUAAAACUUACGGGACUAAGUGUCACGUCCGAUAGAUGCCACUUAUGUAUAAGCCACUGACUUUCAAUGAAAUAUAUUUAUAUAAUAUAUGAAAUGGGAUGACAAACAUUUUUAAUUGAUGUAUGCAUGUGACAUGGUGUGACCAAAUUUGCAGUUGUAUAUAUAUAUAUAGUAUGUAUAUAGUUAAAUGAUCUAACAGGGGAGUAAGUACUACCUACUGGGCAUAUGUCGCUCAACCUACGUCUAUUUAUCUUUCUUGCAGAUCAAGAAAGCCGACUCGUGUACGUUUAAAAAAUAAGUGAGAAAGGUUUAUAGAUAGAUGUUUAAAUCUUGAGAAGUUGGAGUAAAGCAUUUUGUAGAUACAAUUUAGUGAAAUGUAUGUAUUUCAUUGGUAUACGUAAUAUAUAAAUUUUAGUGAAAUUUUGUAAGUUAUGAUCAUGAUGCCUUGUAUUUAUGGGAGUAAGGUCUUAUAAAUAUGGCAUGCCAUGUUGCAAAUUGAGCUCAAGUACCCAGAUUUGGGGCGUGACACUUUGCAUCAGUGAUUAACACAAUUAAUUCAGUGAAAAGUUCUCAGGAUCAAAAUUCCACUCCAAGCUUAGCUCCUAAUUUGUUUAGUUCUUGGUAACUUCCUCCUUCCAGUUCCUAUAUUUCUAAUCACUUGUACUAUCUUCCGGAUCACAAAAACUUUAAAGAGUAAAACUAUAUAGCUGCUAAACAUUGGGGACUAAACCACAUUUUUCUCAAAUAAAAUUGCUCAAGAUCAUCUCGCCUCGCCAUUACCCAAAUAAUGUAAACUUUUACUGUUCAAGUAAAUUGGCAUGGCAGAGUGAACAAAAGCUUCAAUAUCUUCAAGGUUGACAAUCAACUAAGAAAUAUAGUAAGGUUGAGGCACAUAAUGUUUCUUUUUCAAGACGAUUUGCAUCCCUAUGAAAUUUUUAACUUUGAUGCAGAAGGUCACAGUGUGCCACCCAUGUUAUUCCUCAGUUAUGUAUUGGGUUUCAAAUUAAUCAACUAACUAGGAGAAUGAAACCCAUUCUAGUUUUAGACCAAACAAGUUAGGGGGAUGACCAAAAUUGAUGUUCACAUUGAAGUAUAUAAUUCCAAUACAGAUGCUGAUUUUAUUAGGGGUAUAAACGAGUCAAAUUUAAUUGAGUAACUCACGAACUUACUCAGUCAAAACUCAAACUCGAACUAGUAUUGUCCGAGUUCAAGCUUGAACUAGUCAACCGAGUAUGAGCUCGAGUUUAAGCAGCUCGAGUUGCUUGAUGAAUCAAGGUCAAGGCUAAUAUGUGAAUCUUGACCACUCUCAAGUUUAGUCGAGUUCAAUCAAGCUUUACAUAUAUAUGAUUUUUAAAUUUUUUUUAUUUAUUAGCAUGAAAUGUCUAUUUUGUCCCUUGUUUAAAAUUAUAUAAAACAUAAAUUUAUAUUUCUUAAAUUUGAUUAUGAACUGGGUUCGAUUUUCACGAGUUCGAAAUUGAACUCGAGUAAGGUAAAAUAAAAUCUAGCUUAAGCUCGAGCUCGACAAUUUCGAGCCCAAAUUUUUUAACUCGAAUAGUAUAAUAUUCAAAUUCAACUAGACUCAAUUGUAUCCCUAUAUUUCAUUCUGAUUCUUAUUUUCAUUCCAAAAUUCAAAGUAAAUGCCUCCUUAAUGUAUGUUCAAAAGUAGAAGUAGCUAGACAUGACCACUCUAAAUGGAGGAACUAAACAGCUAGAAACCUGCAGCUCGAGCAAGGAUAUUGCUGACAUUUUGACAACUAUUGUUUUCUUAGCCGUUAAAAAUGGGGUUAAAGUCGAUCACAAGAUUCUAAUCCAAAUAUAUGAUGUGAUCUUUUAAAUAUGCAUAUCUAGCUGAGAUAAAUGUGCAGCAUUAGUGAGUGAUGCAAAAAAGCUUGUGUUUGCAAACAAGCAAAGAUCUUUCGCUUACACAACGAUAACUCUCUCUGUCUCUCUCUCUCAUUAACGUCCCAUUAAGGCCCACACGUAUACCUCUUUGCAUUUUGGGUUUCUCAGGUAAAUCAAGAGCACAUUUGCAGGGGGGCUUUUAUGAGGCAUUCCUCUCUAAGAACUUACCAAACAAGGUAGAUUAAUGUUAUAUACAUGUAUAUGCAAUCAGUUUUGAGUAAAUGAUAACUAUGCAAAAUUUAAAUUCAAAAUCUAAUUUUUGUACACGUAUCAUAGAAUUAAUGGUGAUAGUAUACAGACACUAUCAGUGUAUAUAAGAUUUACUUUAAAGUAUUGACAAAUUGUUCAAAGUUAAAUUUAAUCUUUUCCCAAAAUUCAUGUCUAAAUGUCUAAUUUUUGUGAUAUGUUGUUGUAGGCCUAGAUGAGGGCAUCAUGCCUCAUGAUUCUAGGAUCGCUAUCUGUUUGGAUACACUAGUUUUUCAAAAACAAAAUUUUCAAAUACUAUAAAAAUUUUUAAAAAGUACUCUAAAAGGUACUGUAAAAAGUAGUCUAAAUUUUUUUUAAUAUUUAAAAAAUAUCUUAAAAUAUAUUUUAAAAAGUCUACUAUUCUUAAAUAUUCCAAAAUAUUUUCUAAAAACUCUGUUACAGUAAAAUUUUUCAAUAACGCCUCCAAAAACAGUUAAUCCCACCGGAGUGUUAGUUUGCUUUCGAUUCAUCUUGCAUCUGCAAGAUAAAAAGGCCAUAUUUGUUGUUGGUUUUUUUUUUUUUGGUACAAUUUGACGUUUUUAUCCGGUUAGUUCCAGGCUUAUGGCAUAUGGGUUUGUUAGGCAAUAUCUUGCAUCAACGAAAUUUGAGAUAUACCACACGAUCCAAAAUAAUGUUACAUCCAAAGCAGUUUGGCAUGUAACAUUUCUUUGAACUAGCAAAAUAUUGUUUCAAAGAUCUAUGUAGUAUAACUAGAGCUGUUAAUUGAGUCGAGUAUUUGGCUACCGAGCUCGAGUCGAGCUUGUUAGGCAAACGAGCUUUAAAAUAUGUUCGAACUCGGCUCGUCAAAUGUACAUGUGGCUCGAACUCGAGCUCGUGCAAAUUAAUCUCAAUAAAAUCUAUAAUUUUCAAUUUUUAUACUUUUGACUUCUAAAAUGACAAAUAUGCCUUUUAUUAAUGAGCUACUCGGAUAUCAAACGAACCGAGUAAAAUUAAACAAGCACAUUUCUAACUCGAGCUCGGCUCGUUUACCGCAACUAACGAGCCGAGCUCGAGCCUUAUCGAGCCGAGUUCUAACGAGCUUUUCGAGCUACUCGUGAAGUUUAACAGCUCUAAGUAUAACAAGUGAUAGUACCUAAGUUUGCAUAUAUUACUUCAAUGCUCAAAUUACACCUUCCUUAUAAAGCCAGAUUUGUUAAUGAGUUAAUUGAUGCAAACUUGCUUAAUACCAGCUUCAAUGCAAUGGCAUGGAAAAAGCCUGUGCUUGUUAAAAUGGCGACGGAUAGGAGUAACCGUGUAUAAAUCGAUCUUGUUUAACGUUGAACAAAAGCUACCCAUAUUAUGACCACAAUUUCUUAAUGUUGGUCUAGGUGGUAUACAAGCAUACAAAAAUGCAAAACUUUGCAGUACACAAAUUUUAUAAAGAAAGUAAGAUGGCAGAUGAUGAUCUUGAGGUGUAUUUGACACCAUUUUUAAGGUGUUAUCUGCCUCCACUACAUAAAAUAUUUGUUAUUGUGUCAUGACAAAUUCCCUCUAACAUACAAAAAGAUUUAGAAAAAAUAAAUUACAAAUGUCAUGAUUUUCUUCUAAGAAUGAUCAAUGAUGAAAGUUCUACUUAAAAUUGCCUUGUUUGAAAAGCAAUUUUUCACAAAAAAGACUUUUACAUUUUUCAGCCAUCUUACGGAAAUUGUACCAUUAUCGAACCAUAUGAAAGUAAGAGUUACUCGUACGGAUUUAAACAUGUAAACUAAGAGAUGUGAAAAUAAUUUGAAAUUUAAAGUCUUAUAUUUCAUGAAUUUAAAUCAUCAUAUUUCAUUCUUUUAAUUUUUAGGAUUAAUUGCAGUUUGCACCAGUCAACAAUUUGACUAUUAUACUUUGCAUUCCGAACUCUCAAUUUCAGAAAUCUAUUACCUUCGUCUUUUAGUUUUUAGAACCAUUAGCAAAUCAAGCUAAACUUAAUCAAGAAAAAAAUGAUUGUACUAGUUUAUUCUCAAUUUCCUACUAAACAUCCAAAAAUGCCAAUUCAUUUUCAUAUUAACAAAGUCAAAUAAAUCUUUUGGAACACCUUCAAACACACAAUCUAAAAAAAAAAAAAAAAUGCCAUGUCAAAUUUCACCACCAUCAGCACAUCAACUACCACCAUAACUUCUUCCCAUACCAUCAUAACCUCUCCACCAAUUUACCACCACUACUAUCUUAUCACAUCAAACAAAUUAAUACCAAAAAAUAUACCAGCCAAGAAAAAAAAAAGAAAAGAAACCUUAUUAUCAGACCAAACAAAUUAACACCAAAGAAAAAAAAAUCACAAGACAAGAAAACAAAAAAAGGAUAAAAAAAUUCCAUAUCCAAAUCUUAUCAUCAUAAACAGCCACACUAACACGACCACCACCACCUCGUAAGUUUAGCACCAUCAAAGCCUCUUAAACCUUAUCCAAUGAAUUAAUCCCGAAAAAUCAUCAGACAAAAAAGGAAAAUCAACAACAAAAUAUCCCAUACACAAAUCUUUUUAUGAUAGGUGGAUUUCCACCGCACCGUUACCAUAAUCUCUCGACCUCUCGAAUCCAUUAGGAUGGCCAUCUUUUCCUCCAGAAAAAGUAAAACCUUUUUUUUUUCUAACUUUUUUUUUGUCAACACCAUAUUUUAAAUUCCAAUCCUUCAACAAUUAAUUCAAAAUUUCUAACUCCUCCAAGAUCCAUUUUUUUUUUUUGCUCAAAAAAAAAAAAAAGAAUUUCACACCACCUUUGCUCAGCUCCUCGUUGGUAGGAUGGGAGGCGUAAAACCCUUCCUUGGGACAGCAAACCGGAAGCGUGAAGGCAGCGGAGGAGGGAGAGGUGGGGUGUUGCAACUUCUUCUCUGGGAGUGGAGUUGGGGAAGCUGGGUAGGGGAUAGAAAGCGAGGAGUUGGGCUUCACUACGGUUGUUUUCUGAGAUAAUUCUAUGAUGGGGUUUUGUGGGACUCUGGUGAUUGAAUUCACAAUGCAGGAAUUUUUUUCAUUUGAAACCCUUUACUUAUUAGCUAAUUAUUGGUGCCAAAUUUGCAUAUAUAGGAUAAAUUUUAUAUACAAUGAUAGUGUAUACAGUGUUAUCCCGUUAGAUUCAUGACAUAUGUAUAAAAGUUACAUUUCAAAUUCAAAUUUUGUAUAAUUAUCAUUCAUAUAAAAUUAAUAGUGUAUACAUUGUCGGUGCAGAAAAAAUUAAUCCUGUAUUAUAUGGAAAAAAAGGGUAUUUUUGGAACAAAAGACGACAAUGGUCCUUUUAAUUGCCAGAGUUUAGUGGAUUGUAUUAGAUUGCCAAAAAUCAAAGCUUGAAAGUUGUUGAUUGCUAAAAUUAAGGUUUAGAGGCGCAAACUGCAAUAAACCCUAAUUUUUAGCCAAAGAGUGAGAUAAGUUUUAGAGUGACUUGCAUUUUCUUAUGUUUAAUGUUACAUUGUCUAUAUCUAUUGUUUGUAAGCUCACAAAUAAUAAAACAAUUUUUUUGUUGCAUUUCAAACAAGGAUUUCACGAUUUCACGAUCUUAAAUUUGUACUCUGAUUAUAUGCCUUCCAAAACAAUCAAAUGUGAUAUCUCUAUUUGAAAAACCUUUAGAUAGCCUAGCAACAUGGUUACUUUUAUUUGGAAGGGAAUUAUUUUCCUAUUUAUACAUGCUAAUGUUUUAAACUUACACCAAAGGAUGUACCUCUUUCACAAUCAUUUCAAAACAUAUUUAAAAAUCUGCUAAACAGGUGAUUUGGGAUUUAUAAUUGAUGAAGAGGUCACAAAGGAUACUUAAACAAAAUUUCAUUAACAAAUAUGUGUCUAAACAUGCCAAAAAAAGGGUUAAACUAUAAAUAAAAACGUCAAUCCACUUUAGUGUUCAUAGUCUCAUAAUUAAUACAAAUUUUUGUUCCCAUAUGUGCUAUUUUCGAAAAAUUUCCCACAUAUUCAUUAAGAUGAAAGACAAGCCACUUUGUCAUACAUGAACUGGAUUCAGCUCCACAACAUGUAUGGAUCUCGAACAUUCAGUAUUGAAAUGCAUAUGAUCUAUAUAUAUAUAUAUAUAUAAUAAAACGUACAAAAUAGACCCAAGCAUAUAUAUAUAAAAAUAGGUCAUAUGCAUUUUAGAGAUGUGAUUUUGAAAACCAUGGAUACAAAUUUUCCGUUUGAAUUAGGAGUUUUCUUAUAACGAUGUAACGUUUGUAUAAUAAAAAGAUAAUUAAAAAAAAAAAAAAAAAAAACAGGUGAAGGACUAAAACGAGACCAAAACGAGACUUCUUAAGGACUGUUCGAAAGUCAACUAGUCCAAAUCCAAAUCCCAAUCCUCCUCAACGCUCUCAGUCUCCAGUUCACUCUCCUCUCCGGUCAUCACUCAAUCAACUUCUCCCGCCGGCCACCAUGGCACAAGAACCCGCCACCAGAAAGCUCAAAAUCAUCGCCGGAGCCGACUCCUUCGGCUGCACGCUCAAAGACAACUUAGUCUCCCAACUCCGCGAUCUCAGCAUCGAAGUCGAAGACCUCGGCACCAACAAAUACUACUCCGUCGGUGAAGAAAUCGGCCGACGCGUCAGCCAAGCCUCGGCUAACCCGGACCCAUCAGUCGAAACCCGUGGCCUGGUCGCUUGUGGCACCGGCGUCGGCGUAGGCAUCUUCGCGAAUAAAUUCCCCGGCGUCUACGCCGCAACGUGUGUCACCCCAGAAGAAGCCCACAACGCCCGAUCAAUCAAUAACUGCAAUGUCCUCGCCGUCUCCGGCAUGUUGACGGAGCCCGAUGCCGCGAAAAAGAUUCUCCAGAAUUUUCUAGAUACUCCGUUCAAAUCUCCCUGCCCUGCCUUCGGGUCGAACCCCUGGCCGGCUGAAAUCGAAACAUUUUUGGAGAAUUCCGUCUCAGAAAUGUCAGGAAUAGGAAAAUCGGAGGAGAAGGUAGAUGUUCCGUGUGACUUAUGCUCAUUGCUGAAGAAUCGGAAGGAGGGGGAUUUUACUCCGGUGGAUAUAAUGCCCGGGGCGUCGAUGAAGAUCAUCAGGGAGAAUCCAACAUCGGCUCUAGUUCGAUUUAAGGCCGGGGCGAUGGAGCCGGCGCAUCAUCACACAUUUGGGCAUGAUCUGGUGGUGACCAAGGGGAGCAAGAGGGUGUGGAACUUGACUAAAGGGACGAAGUAUGAUUUGGUUGCGGGAGAUUACUUGUUUACCCCUGCUGGUGAUGUGCAUAGGGUCAAGUAUUUUGAGGAUACCGAGUUCUUCAUCAAGUGGGAUGGGCAUUGGGAUAUCUUCCUGGAUGAGGAUCUUGCUGCUGCCCAUGCUGCUGCAGAAAAGGAUGCAAAUUAGUUGGUGGGAUCUGUCUGGAAAUGUAAAAUGAUGGUAAAAAAAAAAUUGUACUACUUUCUAGUAUGUCUCUAUGAGUAAAGUUGCUUGCUUCAGUUGCUUGUUAUAUGGGUGGUUUUAGUUUGAAAUAUUCGAUUAGGUUUAUGUUUGGUUUGAUGUAAAAUUUGCUUUUUGCUGUAUCCCCAAGCAGAAAAUGAGGAAUAUCUUUGUUUGAGUUUGAUGUAACAAAUGAAUCAUGAGAAAAUAUCAUGUCUUUUUUCAAUUAAAGUGCAAUUUAAGGGAUUCUGAUGAUGAACAAGUUGUUGGUUAAUGGUGAAGAGGAGAAUACUGAAGCUAUUUGAAUUACUAUUCACAUGUUGGAUUAUGACAGAGUGCUUUUUAUCUAUUAUUAUCAUGGUAUUUUAGCUUUAGUAUGCUAGAAAGAAGAAAUAUUGGGAAGUUGAGUGUCCCUCCACUCAAAUGUAUGAGAUGAGGAUUUAGAUUUUUAUUACUCUAAGUUUACUUGUAGCGUAUAAAUUGAAGAGGAAUGGGAAGGUCAUCAUGUUGUAAGAACAUAGUUUUGGCUGAGAAACUUAUAAUAUAUUAUGCAAAUUGAUUUUACUUUUUUGAGUAGGGCGCACAUUGUCAAAUUUCUUUUUGCGAGUUAUGCCUUUAUACAUCCCAUUGGAUAUACAAAUCAACAAUGCUGCGUAGAACUAUAGUCAGGGGCAAGAGAGUGCUCAAAAGUUCAAAAUUUUGUGAUACAAUUUACUCGGAAUUAACAUAGGUUUUACGGACCAUCAGUUUCUUUUGUUACUUGGAUCAAUAUAUUCUCAAACUUUCAGUUUAUGAUUUAGAUGAAUCCUCAGCAAUUUCUCUUGAGAAUAUUCUUUUCCUACUUUAUUCCUUCACACUCAAAUUGUUGUUGAUAUUUCAGAUUUGGAUUUGCAUACAACCUACGGUUCAAUGGCACAAUAUGCUUAAUUCUUGUUUCCUUUCUGUCUUGGUUAUAGUGCUAAAACUGUUUGUUUCUUUCAUGUCAAUUGCAUUAAGUUGUGGCUAUAAGAUCAUGAAGUGACUGUGAGUUGGAAUAUUAUGCCUACUUAUUAAGCAUUAUCUUCAUCGCAGCCAUAUCAAAUCGUUUGGGAUAUGGUAACUGAAAGAGUUCUACUAAAUUGCUUAGCUUUCACUUGAAAUUAUUGCAGUUCAGAUUCACAGCACGAGUGUUUGAGAAAUGUUGCAUUCAGCACUUAAAUAGUAGCAAAAUUUAUUUUUCGAUUGAGAAGUUUGUAUUUUUAUUUAUUUUUUUUGGGCAAGAUCUAUUGAUGCAGUUCUAAAUUUUGUGAUACAAUUUACUUGGAAUUAACAUAAGUUUUAUGGACCAUCAAUUUCUUUUGUCACUUGGAUCAUUAUAUUCUUGAACUGUCAAUUUAUAAUUCGGAAUGAAUCCUUAGUAUUUUCUUUUAAGAAUUUUCCUACUUAUUCCUUCACACUCAAAUUGUUGUUGAGGUUUCAGAUUUGGAUGUUGCAUUCAGCACUUAGUAGCAAAAUUGAAAUUUUCAAUUGAGGAGGUUUUGUUUUUCUCCUCUCAAGAUCAAUUGAUGCAGAUUACAUGAAGGAGAUUUAGAAGAUAAUACGAGAGAAUGUGCAACUUGAUUAUGAAUGCAAAUGCUGUCUUCUGGAAAGGUUUUGUAUGAAGCUGAUAUAAAAAUUGUAUGCUGAGGAUAUUUUGCAAAUUUGUCCGCAUGCUUAAUGUUGGGCUGCUGCAUCGAUAACUUUUGCUCUGGCCUUAGUGUAGCAUAGCCUUGCAGUAGAGAUGAAAUAAGAUCAGUCAUAUCUUGUCAGAUCUUCAUCUCUAGUUUUUAUUUGAAACUUUGGAGAUCAAGUAGUGUUGUCCCCAAGAGUAAUUUCCCUUCCAAAUUUUCAUGUAUCAGAGCAUAUUGGGUAGCUUAUGAAAUGGAGAAUGUUAUCCAGAAACCAACUCCCUCUCUGAGUCACCCAAAAAAAAAAAAAAAAAAAAAGAACUCCCUAUCUGUGAGUCCCAAGUUCUCUCAAUCCUUUUGUUCAACUUCUUCUGUUCUUAGUUUUUUGCUUUAUCUACUUUCAAAAGCGUAUGCUUCAUUCAUGUAUUCACCGCAUUAACUCCAUUUAAGCACAGAAGCGUUGCAAUUUCCUGCAAAGCCUCUUAAAAUAAAGCUAAUAGUGAUUUAGCCUCUUCUCUCUCUGUCUCCAUCACAAACUGGAUGUGCGUAGUUUGGAAGCUGAAAUUAAGGUCCUGCAUCAUUCGUGAAGCUACUAUUUUCAUGUAAUCUACCUUGAUAAUUAUAGAUAAGGAAUCUUUUGAGCUUAAAUGUGUAUGUUUUGUCUUCACUCUUUAUUACUUGGAGUCCCUUCAGAAGUGUAUAGAAUGAUAAAACUUGGGCAAACCCAAGAAGCUAAUUGCGCAAAGAAAUAGUGAGUAAUUUUAUUUAGUGAUGAUUGCAUGCUUAGGGAGAAGAAGUGUUCAUGAGAAAAACACAUGGCGGAAUUGAAGGAUAUGAGAGAAAUAUGUAUAUUCCUUGCUUUAUAACUGCCAUUAGUAUGUUUUAUGGGACACGAGCUUCUCUGGCUACCUGAGCUGCUCGAUGUUUUCUGUCAACUAGGAAUGGCUCUGGGCGGUAUCUGUCUCAUUAGUUGAAGUCAUUUUCUUCGUGGUUCUUGUCUGUGCUUAUUUGGUACUUAUGGGGAUGCCUCUGCUGCCUUUGGUUUUCUUGUGAUUCUUUUCUGUGCAAAUGGAUGGUAUUUGGCUGAUGCCUCUGUUGCCUUCUGUAAAUGUUUACCACGACUCUCAAGAAGCAUCUUUGCUGGUGCAUUUGUAUAUUGCUUUUCGAUGUCCCGCAGCUUGGCUUCCAUCUCCGGAGUUUGUUUUUGUAGCAGCUGUUUGGUUGAUUCUGCCUCAGGUGGAUCAUCUAAAUAGGUUAAAAGCAUUAUUGACACUAGUUAAGUUGGCAGCAAUUGAUGUGAUGCUUCUCAGAUGAUGAUUAUUUUUUAUUUUUUGUGAGAGCAGUUUGAAGCAUUCAAGCACUGAAUGGCUUUUGAGUAAAAAAAUCUCAAUAUCAUAACUAGGUUAUACGAAAGCUGAAAUUGUUUGAUUGUCUAUAAUUUUGCAUGUGUCCAUCCGACUAUGAUGAAUCUGAACAUUGUAGUUGUGUGAUAAUGUAACUGUACCGCUUGAUUCUUGAUUGAAACACAAUCCAGUUUGCCUGUGGAUUUUGGCCGCUAUCCUUUUUGCCAGAAACUGAAUCUUGUAAUUAUAUAGGAGAAUGCUGGCAUGAUUUGAAAAGCCUUAAAGGUAUAUUGUGCCAGAUAAUGUAGUGAACCAUUCUCAGGCAUAACUAAACUUAGCACAAACUUCAUUUGGCUAUGAGCAGCAAUACGGGAAUUACGCCAUGGUUUGAUCUUAACCUCAACGGCUAUUAAACUAUUAUUAUAAUCAACUAUCAAACUAUUUUAGAUGAACGCCAUGAAUGAUACCAUAUGGUUAGAUUGAACUAUUUCAGAUUAUCUAUCAAAAAUCAAUCAUAGGUUUAGUUGUGAUCUUUUUGAACAUCUUUUUCAUCAGUUCCUAAAAUGGAAACGACUUGAUUGAUUUGUAUGCAACUAUACCAGAAGAUAUAAGAGCAAAAAUACAACAAAAUUGUGAAAAAAGAAGGAAAAGAGGAGAGCUGUGAAACAUACUCAUGCAGUGAUCAACACACAAGAUAUUACAGGCGAAUUCCAGUCCCCCCCACUUCUGACAGAUAUUGGGACAUUCCCGGGCGCAAGGUGAAUCCGCCUCCACCUCAUGGUUCAAAACAAGAACAAGAACUAGAACAGCAAACAAAAGAGAUUGCACUCUCCCCAUUCUUCUUGUUUUUCCUCUCUAGUUGUUUUUCUUUUAUUGAAUGCUAGAUGGCCUGUGGCCCAUGAGAGUGUUAGUUUUGUGGAUGGGGCUAUUUAAAGCAUUUGUUUGUUGGGGGAAAGGGGGGGGGGGUAUGUUCUGUUCUGGUCAAAUAUGUUCAGAAUAAUAGAAUCUAAAGUUCCUUAUUCUAUGGUUGGAAUUGGUUAAAAAAAAAUUAUUAGCUGGAUGAUGUCUUUGCUAUUCUAGAUGAAGAGAUCCUCCCAAUUUCUCAGGUGCACCUCAAAUUGGUUCUCAAUUUGCCAAUCAUGUACAUAUAUGAUAUGUACACUGCUUUUGACUGUUUCUUGAAAUCUUGAAUUACAGCUCAAGGUUGGUAUUAAACAGUUGGAAAUUACCUUGAUUCUGAUUUUUGACCACAAUAUUCAAGGUAUCUGAUCAAUGGAAUUGCAAUGCAUUCGGCAGUGCCAUUUCCAUUUUUAUUUGCCAGACAUCAAUUUCGUUGUACCUAAGCCAAUCUAAGUCUUCGAGAGGUGUAUUUGUCCGAGUUCUCAUUCAUUCUAAAAUGAAUUCAGUGGAAAAAAAUCUUAUUCCGUUUCUUACAAAAAGAAAAAGGAACAUUUUAUUCCAUCUAUUUCUUACUUAUUUAGGCCUUUAAUUUUUUUUUUUUAAAACUAUAACAGUUUAGGCCUUUCAUGAAGCCACAUAAUUUGAUAGAGUAAGGUAUCUCAUACAUCUUUUAAUUUUUCUCAAGAUAAACCCAAUUUUUUAUGCACACAAACACAUUCAAAUAUAAAACUUCUGCACUAACAUUUUUCUUGAAGAAGUUUGGUGAAUUUUGGAUGUUAACAGUGGACGAUGCUUUUGGGAGAACUUUGAAAAAAGGGACCACUAAACAAGGGACAGAUAGAAGAAGCAUAAAAAAUCAAUGAAAGAUUGCCAUUUAGGAUGGAAGAUUGCCAUAAAAAAUCACUUGGCAGACAGAUUUCAAGACAAGAACUGAAUAGGGCUGUAUUGAGCAUUGAUAUAAUUGACAAGUUGCAUUCUUGAUUAAAUGAAUUACAUUGGAUACAUAAUGCACAUACAGGCUCUUCUGACCUUCAGUUUCCUCCUACUUAAUGGUGCUGGCAGUUCCCUCCUGCUCUUCAGGCAAACUGCAGUGUUUUUGUAUCCGCUCCCUAAGUCAAUAAUGUAUCGCAUCUCAUUGAUGAAGAAAAGA